CCGAGUUUCCCGACUCCAAAACCCCCGCGAACAUACCCGUACGUUGCUUCGGCGGAUCGCCCCGGCGCCCUCGCGGCCCGGACCCAGGCGCCCGCCGGGGGACCCAAACUCACGAUUGAACCUGCGGCACGCUCCGAGUCACGCGACAGAAAAUGAAUCA
This 160-nucleotide unclassified non-coding RNA is filed under the name uncultured Nectriaceae. RNAcentral's name for it is "sequence contains ITS1". The record is from RNAcentral. Lineage: Eukaryota; Fungi; Ascomycota; Sordariomycetes; Hypocreales; Nectriaceae.